Molecule: long non-coding RNA, 796 nt
Organism: Lates calcarifer (barramundi perch)
Lineage: Eukaryota; Metazoa; Chordata; Actinopteri; Centropomidae
Exons: 4
Source: RefSeq, a predicted model, not a curated record
AAAUGUGAAAAAAUGUCAUAGUAUAGUAAGACAUGAAAAAAUGUCAUAGUAUAGUAAGGCGUCAAAAAAUGUGAAAAAAUGUCAUAGUAUAGUAAGGCGUCAAAAAAUGUGAAAAAAUGUCAUAGUAUAGUAAGACAUGAAAAAAUGUGAAAAAAUGUCAUAGUAUAGUAAGACAUGAAAAAAUGUGAAAAAAUGUCAUAGUAUAGUAAGACAUGAAAAAAUGUGAAAAAAUGUCAUAGUAUAGUAAGGUGUCGAAAAAUGUGAAAAAAUGUCAUAGUAUAGUAAGACAUGAAAAAAUGUCAUAGUAUAGUAAGACAUGAAAAAAUGUGAAAAAAUGUCAUAGUAUAGUAAGACGUGAAAAAAUGUCAUAGUAUAGUAAGACAUGAAAAAACGUGAAAAAAUGUCAUUGUAUAGUAAGACAUGAAAAAACGUGAAAAAAUGUCAUAGUAUAGUAAGGUGUCGAAAAAUGUGAAAAAAUGUCAUAGUAUAGUAAGACAUGAAAAAAUGUCAUAGUAUAGUAAGACAUGAAAAAAUGUGAAAAAAUGUCAUAGUAUAGUAAGGUGUCGAAAAAUGUGAAAAAAUGUCAUAGUAUAGUAAGGUGUCGAAAAAUGUGAAAAAAUGUCAUAGUAUAGUAAGACAUGAAAAAACGUGAAAAAAUGUCAUAGUAUAGUAAGACAUGAAAAAACGUGAAAAAAUGUCAUAGUAUAGUAAGGUGUCGAAAAAUGUGAAAAAAUGUCAUAGUAUAGUAAGACAUGAAAAAAUGUGAAAAAAUGUCAUUGUAUAGUAAUGUGAAAAA